This 253-nucleotide ribosomal RNA is filed under the name uncultured bacterium. RNAcentral's name for it is "partial 16S ribosomal RNA". It matches the Rfam family "Bacterial small subunit ribosomal RNA", at positions 524 to 776 of the family's 1533-position model. The record is from RNAcentral.
UACGUAGGGGGCGAGCGUUGUCCGGAGUUACUGGGCGUAAAGCGCACGCAGGCGGUCUGCUAAGUUUGGAGUGACAGUUGGUGGCUUAACUGCCAAAGUGCUUCGAAAACUGACAGACUUGAGGGCUUCAGAGGGACACGGAAUUCCGGGUGGAGUGGUGAAAUGCGUAGAGAUCCGGAGGAACACCAAAGGCGAAGGCAGGUCUCUGGGCCACUACUGACGCUGAGAAGCGAAAGCAUGGGGAGCGAACAGG